RNAcentral lists this ribosomal RNA (429 nucleotides) under Bacteroidota bacterium. RNAcentral describes it as "Bacteroidetes bacterium partial 16S ribosomal RNA". It matches the Rfam family "Bacterial small subunit ribosomal RNA", at positions 355 to 776 of the family's 1533-position model. Lineage: Bacteria; Pseudomonadati; Bacteroidota. The record is from RNAcentral.
UAGGGAAUCUUCCGCAAUGGACGCAAGUCUGACGGAGCAACGCCGCGUGAGUGAAGAAGGAUUUCGGUUCGUAAAACUCUGUUGUUAGAGAAGAACAGCGCAUAGAGUAACUGUUAUGCGUGUGACGGUAUCUAACCAGAAAGCCACGGCUAACUACGUGCCAGCAGCCGCGGUAAUACGUAGGUGGCAAGCGUUGUCCGGAUUUAUUGGGCGUAAAGCGAGCGCAGGCGGUCAAUUAAGUCUGAUGUGAAAGCCCCCGGCUCAACCGGGGAGGGUCAUUGGAAACUGGUUGACUUGAGUGCAGAAGAGGAGGGUGGAAUUCCAUGUGUAGCGGUGAAAUGCGUAGGUAUAUGGAGGAAAACCAGUGGCGAAGGCGACUCUCUGGUCUGUAACUGACGCUGAGGCUCGAAAGCGUGGGUAGCAAACAGG